RNAcentral lists this ribosomal RNA (463 nucleotides) under uncultured bacterium. Its description in RNAcentral is "partial 16S ribosomal RNA". It matches the Rfam family "Bacterial small subunit ribosomal RNA", at positions 28 to 507 of the family's 1533-position model. The record is from RNAcentral.
GAUGAACGCUGACAGAAUGCUUAACACAUGCAAGUCUUUGGCGAAGCUGUGCUUGCACAGCCUAGCCAAGGCGGACGGGUGAGUAACGCGUAAGGAACUUGCCCUGCAGUCAGGGAUAACAGACGGAAACGACUGAUAAGACCUGGUAAAGUCAGGCGGACUCAUGUCCAGCCUGAUGAAAAGAGAUGCUGCAGGAGAGCCUUGCGUCCUAUUAGCUUGUUGGUGGGGUAACGGCCCACCAAGGCGAUGAUAGGUAGCCGGCCUGAGAGGGUGGACGGCCACAAGGGGACUGAGAUACGGCCCUUACUCCUACGGGAGGCAGCAGUGGGGAAUAUUGGACAAUGGGGGCAACCCUGAUCCAGCAAUUCUGUGUGCACGAUGAAGGUUUUCGGAGCGUAAAGUGCUUUCAGCAGGGAAGAAAAAAAUGACGGUACCUGCAGAAGAAGCGACGGCUAAAUACGUG